RNAcentral lists this long non-coding RNA (320 nucleotides) under Brassica napus (rape). Its description in RNAcentral is "long non-coding RNA (BNAP_LNC011642)". Lineage: Eukaryota; Viridiplantae; Streptophyta; Magnoliopsida; Brassicales; Brassicaceae. The record is from RNAcentral.
GGCACUUGUCGACAUCGCCAUUUGAAGAUCGAACCAUUUCAUCGCACCAAUGAUAUAUUUAAGAUAUCUCAAACUUUGUAAACUCUCGAUUAUGUAUAUUGAUCACCGAAACUCAAUUUGAAAUACAAGUACUCGAAAAAAGAACCACUACAAUCUCAUCGCGAUCGAGCUGUGACUCAUACGUCAACAGAACAACAAUGAAGUCAAGCAAAAUGAAAUUCAACAACCACUCUUUCUAUUUAAAGUUCAAACAUUCUUCUGCUAAAAGUAAAGUCUAUGACUGCUUCCGAGUCUUUAUUUUACUCUUCUCUUCUGCCAUC